AGCGAACGCUAGCGGCGGGCUUAACACACGCAAGUCGAGCGCCCCUUCGGGGGAGCGGCGGACGGGUGAGUAACGCGUGGGAAUCUACCCUAUGGUGGAGGAUAACCCCGGGAAACCGGGGCUAAUACUGCAUAUGGUCUACGGAUCAAAGACUUCGGUCGCCAAAGGAUGAGCCCGCGUCCCAUUAUUUAAUCCUGGUUGGUGGGGUAACGGCCUACCAAGGGUACGAUGGGUAGCUGGUCUGAGAGGACGAUCAGCCACACUGGGACUGAGACACGGCCCAG
RNAcentral lists this ribosomal RNA (284 nucleotides) under uncultured bacterium. RNAcentral describes it as "partial 16S ribosomal RNA". It matches the Rfam family "Bacterial small subunit ribosomal RNA", at positions 29 to 334 of the family's 1533-position model. The record is from RNAcentral.